Small nuclear RNA from Cervus hanglu yarkandensis (Yarkand deer), 147 nucleotides. Its record names the gene U1. It matches the Rfam family "U1 spliceosomal RNA". Rfam says of the family: U1 is a small nuclear RNA (snRNA) component of the spliceosome (involved in pre-mRNA splicing). Its 5' end forms complementary base pairs with the 5' splice junction, thus defining the 5' donor site of an intron. NCBI's taxonomy places the organism in Eukaryota, Metazoa, Chordata, Mammalia, Artiodactyla, Cervidae. The record is from Ensembl.
GAGGUUACCUGGCAGGGGGGAUACAGUAAUCACGAAGGUAAUUUUCUCAGGGGAAGGCUUAUCAAUUGCACCCUGGGAUCUUCCCAAAUGUGGGAAAUUUGGCUGCAUAAUUUAUGGCAACGGGGGACUGUUUUGAACAUUCCCCUG